This 745-nucleotide ribosomal RNA is filed under the name Staphylococcus aureus. RNAcentral's name for it is "partial 23S ribosomal RNA". It matches the Rfam family "Bacterial large subunit ribosomal RNA", at positions 574 to 1326 of the family's 2925-position model. The record is from RNAcentral. Lineage: Bacteria; Bacillati; Bacillota; Bacilli; Caryophanales; Staphylococcaceae.
UCAGAGCCCGUUAAUGGGUGAUGGCGUGCCUUUUGUAGAAUGAACCGGCGAGUUACGAUUUGAUGCAAGGUUAAGCAGUAAAUGUGGAGCCGUAGCGAAAGCGAGUCUGAAUAGGGCGUUUAGUAUUUGGUCGUAGACCCGAAACCAGGUGAUCUACCCUUGGUCAGGUUGAAGUUCAGGUAACACUGAAUGGAGGACCGAACCGACUUACGUUGAAAAGUGAGCGGAUGAACUGAGGGUAGCGGAGAAAUUCCAAUCGAACCUGGAGAUAGCUGGUUCUCUCCGAAAUAGCUUUAGGGCUAGCCUCAAGUGAUGAUUAUUGGAGGUAGAGCACUGUUUGGACGAGGGGCCCCUCUCGGGUUACCGAAUUCAGACAAACUCCGAAUGCCAAUUAAUUUAACUUGGGAGUCAGAACAUGGGUGAUAAGGUCCGUGUUCGAAAGGGAAACAGCCCAGACCACCAGCUAAGGUCCCAAAAUAUAUGUUAAGUGGAAAAGGAUGUGGCGUUGCCCAGACAACUAGGAUGUUGGCUUAGAAGCAGCCAUCAUUUAAAGAGUGCGUAAUAGCUCACUAGUCGAGUGACACUGCGCCGAAAAUGUACCGGGGCUAAACAUAUUACCGAAGCUGUGGAUUGUCCUUUGGACAAUGGUAGGAGAGCGUUCUAAGGGCGUUGAAGCAUGAUCGUAAGGACAUGUGGAGCGCUUAGAAGUGAGAAUGCCGGUGUGAGUAGCGAAAGACGGGUGAGA